UACGUAGGAGACGAGCGUCGUCCGGAAUUACUGGGCGUAAAGCGCGUGUAGGCGGGCGUGCAAGUCUGCUGUGAAAGCUCCUGGCUUAACCGGGAGUGGUCGGUGGAAACUGCACACCUGGAGGACGGUAGAGGUAGGUAGAAUUCCCGGUGUAGUGGUGAAAUGCGUAGAGAUCGGGAGGAAUACCUGUGGCGAAGGCGGCCUACUGGGCCGGACCUGACGCUGAGACGCGAAGGCGUGGGGAGCGAACGGG
This 253-nucleotide ribosomal RNA is filed under the name uncultured bacterium. RNAcentral's name for it is "partial 16S ribosomal RNA". It matches the Rfam family "Bacterial small subunit ribosomal RNA", at positions 524 to 776 of the family's 1533-position model. The record is from RNAcentral.